Molecule: small nucleolar RNA, 140 nt
Organism: Gadus morhua (Atlantic cod)
Lineage: Eukaryota; Metazoa; Chordata; Actinopteri; Gadiformes; Gadidae
Source: Ensembl
UUGCACUGUCUUUGAACCUGGGUAGUCUUGUCGGUGACCGCUUAGGCCAAGCUUCAGUGCUAAAGCAACCUCAGGCUUGUUUAUAACUGGAGCCUCCUGGCUAUACUCCCAGCUUGCUCUUUUAAAAGCAAUCCACAAUG